Non-coding RNA from Canis lupus familiaris (dog), 107 nucleotides. The record is from Rfam. Lineage: Eukaryota; Metazoa; Chordata; Mammalia; Carnivora; Canidae.
AGGAGGAACAACAACAUUGGCAGCCGCCAGCUCUGGAGCCCUGGAUUCAGCUCCUGCAGUAACUACAGAGCUGUCAGUCUGCGGGGGCCUGGAGGCUCCGGGGCGGG